GUGCUUGCUUUGGUGGCACGUAUACUAAAAUUGGAACCAUACAGAGAAGAUUAGCAUGGUCUUGUGCAAGGAUGACAUAAUAUAUAUAAAAUAUAUAUGU
This 100-nucleotide small nuclear RNA is filed under the name Loxodonta africana (African savanna elephant). The record is from RNAcentral. Lineage: Eukaryota; Metazoa; Chordata; Mammalia; Proboscidea; Elephantidae.